GAUGAAGAACGUAGCGAAAUGCGAUAAGUAAUGUGAAUUGCAGAAUUCAGUGAAUCAUCGAAUCUUUGAACGCACAUUGCGCCCGCCAGUAUUCUGGCGGGCAUGCCUGUUCGAGCGUCAUUUCAACCAUCAAGCCCCCGGCUUGUGUUGGGGACCUGCGGCUGCCGCAGGCCCUGAAAACCAGUGGCGGGCUCGCUGUCACACCGAGGGUAGUAGAUUUUCAUCUCGCUCAGGGCGUGCUGCGGGUUCCGGCCGUAAAAAGCCUUAUUUACCCAAGGUUGACCUCGGAUCAGGUAGGAAGACCCGCUGAACUUAAGCAUAUCAAUAAGCGGAGGA
Molecule: unclassified non-coding RNA, 336 nt
Filed under: soil metagenome
Description: partial contains 5.8S ribosomal RNA, internal transcribed spacer 2, and large subunit ribosomal RNA
Rfam family: 5.8S ribosomal RNA (bases 1-120)
Source: RNAcentral